Molecule: ribosomal RNA, 483 nt
Filed under: uncultured bacterium
Lineage: Bacteria
Description: partial 16S ribosomal RNA
Rfam family: Bacterial small subunit ribosomal RNA
Source: RNAcentral
AUUGAACGCUGGCGGCAGGCCUAACACAUGCAAGUCGAGCGGAUGAAGGGAGCUUGCUCCUGGAUUCAGCGGCGGACGGGUGAGUAAUGCCUAGGAAUCUGCCUGGUAGUGGGGGAUAACGUCCGGAAACGGGCGCUAAUACCGCAUACGUCCUGAGGGAGAAAGUGGGGGAUCUUCGGACCUCACGCUAUCAGAUGAGCCUAGGUCGGAUUAGCUAGUUGGUGGGGUAAAGGCCUACCAAGGCGACGAUCCGUAACUGGUCUGAGAGGAUGAUCAGUCACACUGGAACUGAGACACGGUCCAGCCUCCUACGGGAGGCAGCGGUGGGGAAUAUUGGACAAUGGCGAAAGCCUGAUCCAGCCAUGCCGCGUGUGUGAAGAAGGUCUUCGGAUUGUAAAGCACUUUAAGUUGGGAGGAAGGGCAGUAAGUUAAUACCUUGCUGUUUUGACGUUACCAACAGAAUAAGCACCGGCUAACUUCGUG